UUAAGUGAAUAAGGGCGCACGGUGGAUGCCUUGGCACUAGGAGCCGAUGAAGGACGGGACUAACACCGAUAUGCUUUGGGGAGCUGUAAGUAAGCUAUGAUCCAGAGAUUUCCGAAUGGGGGAACCCAAUAUCUUUUAUAGGAUAUUACUUUUCAGUGAAUACAUAGCUGAUUAGAGGUAGACGCAGAGAACUGAAACAUCUUAGUACCUGCAGGAAGAGAAAGAAAAUUCGAUUCCCUGAGUAGCGGCGAGCGAAACGGGAAGAGCCCAAACCAACAAGCUUGCUUGUUGGGGUUGUAGGACUCCAAUAUGGUAGUCUGUUAGUAUAGUUGAAGGAUUUGGAAAAUUCCGCUAAAGAGGGUGAAAGCCCCGUAGACGAAAUGCUGACAACACCUAGGAGGAUCCUGAGUACGGCGGAACACGAGAAAUUCCGUCGGAAUCCGCGGGGACCAUCCCGCAAGGCUAAAUACUCCCUAGUGACCGAUAGUGAACCAGUACCGUGAGGGAAAGGUGAAAAGCACCCCGGAAGGGGAGUGAAAUAGAUCCUGAAACCGUGUGCCUACAACAAGUCAAAGCUCGUUAAUGAGUGAUGGCGUGCCUUUUGUAGAAUGAACCGGCGAGUUACGAUUGCAUGCGAGGUUAAGUCGAAGAGACGGAGCCGUAGCGAAAGCGAGUCUGAAUAGGGCGAAUGAGUAUGUAGUCGUAGACCCGAAACCAUGUGAUCUACCCAUGUCCAGGUUGAAGGUGCGGUAAAACGCACUGGAGGACCGAACCCACGUACGUUGAAAAGUGCGGGGAUGAGGUGUGGGUAGCGGAGAAAUUCCAAACGAACUUGGAGAUAGCUGGUUCUCUCCGAAAUAGCUUUAGGGCUAGCCUCGGAAUUGAGAAUGAUGGAGGUAGAGCACUGUUUGGACUAGGGGCCCAUCUCGGGUUACCGAAUUCAGAUAAACUCCGAAUGCCAUUCAUUUAUAUCCGGGAGUCAGACUGCGAGUGAUAAGAUCCGUAGUCGAAAGGGAAACAGCCCAGACCACCAGCUAAGGUCCCAAAAUAUAUGUUAAGUGGAAAAGGAUGUGGGGUUGCACAGACAACUAGGAUGUUGGCUUAGAAGCAGCCACCAUUUAAAGAGUGCGUAAUAGCUCACUAGUCGAGUGACCCUGCGCCGAAAAUGUACCGGGGCUAAACAUAUUACCGAAGCUGUGGACUACACCAUUAGGUGUAGUGGUAGGAGAGCGUUCUAAGGGCGUUGAAGGUCGAUCGUGAGGACGGCUGGAGCGCUUAGAAGUGAGAAUGCCGGUAUGAGUAGCGAAAGACAGGUGAGAAUCCUGUCCACCGUAUGACUAAGGUUUCCUGGGGAAGGCUCGUCCGCCCAGGGUUAGUCGGGACCUAAGCCGAGGCCGAUAGGCGUAGGCGAUGGACAACAGGUUGAUAUUCCUGUACCAGUUGUUUUUGUUUGAGCAAUGGAGGGACGCAGUAGGCUAAGGAAUGCAUGCGAUUGGAAGUGCAUGUCCAAGCAAUGAGUCUUGAGUAGAGUUAAAUGCUUUACUCUCUAAGGACAAGUUGUGACGGGGAGCGAAAUAAUAGUAGCGAAGUUCCUGAUGUCACACUGCCAAGAAAAGCUUCUAGUGAGAAAACAACUGCCCGUACCGUAAACCGACACAGGUAGUCGAGGAGAGUAUCCUAAGGUGAGCGAGCGAACUCUCGUUAAGGAACUCGGCAAAAUGACCCCGUAACUUCGGGAGAAGGGGUGCUGACUUCGGUCAGCCGCAGUGAAUAGGCCCAAGCGACUGUUUAUCAAAAACACAGGUCUCUGCAAAAUCGUAAGAUGAAGUAUAGGGGCUGACGCCUGCCCGGUGCUGGAAGGUUAAGAGGAUGGGUUAGCUUCGGCGAAGCUCAGAAUUGAAGCCCCAGUAAACGGCGGCCGUAACUAUAACGGUCCUAAGGUAGCGAAAUUCCUUGUCGGGUAAGUUCCGACCCGCACGAAAGGCGUAACGAUUUGGGCACUGUCUCAACGAGAGACUCGGUGAAAUUUUAGUACCUGUGAAGAUGCAGGUUACCCGCGACAGGACGGAAAGACCCCAUGGAGCUUUACUGUAGUUUGAUAUUGAGUGUUUGUACCACAUGUACAGGAUAGGUAGGAGCCGAUGAGACCGGAACGCUAGUUUCGGAGGAGGCGCUGGUGGGAUACUACCCUUGUGUUAUGAACCCUCUAACCCGCACCACUAAUCGUGGUGGGAGACAGUGUCAGAUGGGCAGUUUGACUGGGGCGGUCGCCUCCUAAAAGGUAACGGAGGCGCCCAAAGGUUCCCUCAGAAUGGUUGGAAAUCAUUCGAAGAGUGUAAAGGCAGAAGGGAGCUUGACUGCGAGACCUACAAGUCGAGCAGGGACGAAAGUCGGGCUUAGUGAUCCGGUGGUUCCGCAUGGAAGGGCCAUCGCUCAACGGAUAAAAGCUACCCUGGGGAUAACAGGCUUAUCUCCCCCAAGAGUCCACAUCGACGGGGAGGUUUGGCACCUCGAUGUCGGCUCGUCGCAUCCUGGGGCUGUAGUCGGUCCCAAGGG
RNAcentral lists this ribosomal RNA (2556 nucleotides) under Enterococcus faecalis TX4244. Its description in RNAcentral is "bacterial LSU rRNA". It matches the Rfam family "Bacterial large subunit ribosomal RNA", at positions 1 to 2571 of the family's 2925-position model. Lineage: Bacteria; Bacillati; Bacillota; Bacilli; Lactobacillales; Enterococcaceae. The record is from RNAcentral.